Molecule: ribosomal RNA, 485 nt
Filed under: uncultured bacterium
Lineage: Bacteria
Description: bacterial SSU rRNA
Rfam family: Bacterial small subunit ribosomal RNA
Source: RNAcentral
AACGAACGCUGGCGGCGCGCCUAAUACAUGCAAGUCGAGCGAGAAGGUGUAGCAAUACACUUGUAAAGCGGCGAACGGGUGAGGAAUACAUGGGUAAUCUACCAUCGAGUGGGGAAUAACCAACCGAAAGGUUGGCUAAUACCGCGUACGCCUCCGAGUCUUCGGGUUCGGAGGGAAAGCUGCACUGUGAGUGUAGCGCUCUUUGAUGAGCUCAUGUCCUAUCAGCUUGUUGGUAGGGUAACGGCCUACCAAGGCUUUGACGGGUAGCUGGUCUGAGAGGACGAUCAGCCACACUGGCACUGCGACACGGGCCAGACUCCUACGGGAGGCAGCAGUAAGGAAUAUUGCGCAAUGGGCGAAAGCCUGACGCAGCGACGCCGCGUGGGGAUGAAGGUCUUCGGAUUGUAAACCCUUCGGAGGAAGAUGGAACGAGCAAUCGUUCGGAUGGUACCUCCAGAAGCAGCCACGGCCAACUUCGUGCCAGC